Molecule: small RNA, 237 nt
Filed under: Arabidopsis thaliana (thale cress)
Lineage: Eukaryota; Viridiplantae; Streptophyta; Magnoliopsida; Brassicales; Brassicaceae
Description: ATSL250540
Source: RNAcentral
AUUAGUGUGGAAGAGAAGAGAUGGGAGGAUACACACCAAUACGAUUCGUGUGUUGUGGUGCUCCGUUACACAACGAUACACAACGGGAAUAAUUUAUAUUUUAAAGUUAGUAUAUAUAAAAUUUUGUAAAUUAUAUUUAUUUAUAAAAUAUUUUAUUUUAUAGUUUACAAUUGUUAUUAAGUAACGUCCUGUCAAACCCGUCCCGCCAAACCCGUCCCGUAAAAAAACUAUUAUUUU